GAUUUCAGCAAGCUUCACAUUUUGGGGGCAGGCAGGGGAAGAAUUCUAGAAGAGAAACAGGAUAUUCUAGUGAGACAAGCCAAUGCUGACUGUUUAAGAGAUUUAGGAUUGAAAUCUGCUUUUGAACUCGCAUUCCGGCGGUCCUCUUUGGUGUUCUCACCAAGGGCAAAAGGACUCAAAUCCUCAGCGGAGGACAGAAGGUGGCCUCUCUUCUGGCAAAACAUGCAAAUCGCCAUUGCUCGCGAGGGUGACCUCCUGACCAAGGAGCGGCUGUGCUGUGGCCUGUCCAUGUUCGAGGUCAUCCUGACCCGCAUUCGGAGCUACCUGCAGGACCCCAUCUGGCGGGGCCCACCGCCCACCAAUGGCGUCAUGCACGUCGAUGAGUGUGUGGAGUUCCACCGGCUGUGGAGCGCCAUGCAGUUCGUGUACUGCAUCCCUGUGGGAACCAACGAGUUCACAGCUGAGCAGUGUUUCGGCGAUGGCUUGAACUGGGCUGGUUGCUCCAUCAUCGUCCUGCUGGGCCAGCAGCGUCGCUUCGACCUGUUCGACUUCUGUUACCACCUGCUAAAAGUGCAGAGGCAG
RNAcentral lists this small RNA (582 nucleotides) under Pan troglodytes (chimpanzee). Its description in RNAcentral is "retained intron". The record is from RNAcentral. Lineage: Eukaryota; Metazoa; Chordata; Mammalia; Primates; Hominidae.